Molecule: ribosomal RNA, 465 nt
Filed under: uncultured bacterium
Lineage: Bacteria
Description: partial 16S ribosomal RNA
Rfam family: Bacterial small subunit ribosomal RNA
Source: RNAcentral
GAUGAACGCUGGCGGCGUGCUUAACACAUGCAAGUCGAACGGAAAGGCUCCUGCUUGCAGGGGUACUCGAGUGGCGAACGGGUGAGUAACACGUGGGUGAUCUGCCCUGCACUUCGGGAUAAGCCUGGGAAACUGGGUCUAAUACCGGAUAGGAAGAUGGUUUGGAUGCCAUUGUGGAAAGUUUUUCGGUGUGGGAUGAGCUCGCGGCCUAUCAGCUUGUUGGUGGGGUAAUGGCCUACCAAGGCGUCGACGGGUAGCCGGCCUGAGAGGGUGUACGGCCACAUUGGGACUGAGAUACGGCCCAGACUCCUACGGGAGGCAGCAGUGGUGAAUAUUGCACAAUGGGCGCAAGCCUGAUGCAGCGACGCCGCGUGGGGGAUGACGGCCUUCGGGUUGUAAACUCCUUUCGCUAGGGACGAAGCGCAAGUGACGGUACCUGGAGAAGAAGCACCGGCUAACUACGUG